ACUACUGUUGAUCAGGGCCCUAUUCCCUAUAUAGUACACUACUGUUGACCAGGGCCCUAUUCCCUAUAUAGUACACUAAUUUUGAUCAGAGGCCUAUUCCCUAUAUAGUGCACUAAUUUUGAUCAGAGGCCUGUGAGGAAUAGGGGGCCAAUUGGGACGCAGACUGUAUGUGAAACUGAUCAGUUUUUAAAUGUUUCUGCGGUUCUUAUUGGUUGUCUGAUUCUCUGACCAUGUCUGUGGUUGUUAUGGUUACCGUCUGAUCCAGUUCAUACAGACUGUUUUGGUUGUUGUUUCUUUGUUCUGUUUAUCUCUCUCUCUUUUUGUGGUUUAACUGUCUGUGGUCAGGUUCUGGCCAAUCAGAUGGGUCCGUGGUCAGGUUCUGGCCAAUCAGAUGGGUCAGGUUCUGGCCAAUCAGAUGGGUCAGGUUCUGGCCAAUCAGAUGGGUCAGGUUCUGGCCAAUCAGAUGGGUCCGGGGUCAGGUUCUGGCCAAUCAGAUGGGUCCGGGGUCAGGUUCUGGCCAAUCAGAUGGGUCCGUGGUCAGGUUCUGGCCAAUCAGAUGGGUCCGUGGUCAGGUUCUGGCCAAUCAGAUGGGUCCGUGGUCAGGUUCUGGCCAAUCAGAUGGGUCCGUGGUCAGGUUCUGGCCAAUCAGAUGGGUCCGUGGUCAGGUUCUGGCCAAUCAGAUGGGUCCGUGGUCAGGUUCUGCCAAUCAGAUGGGUCCGUGGUCAGGUUCUGGCCAAUCAGAUGGGUCCGUGGUCAGGUUCUGGCCAAUCAGAUGGGUCCGUGGUCAGGUUCUGGCCAAUCAGAUGGGUCCGUGGUCAGGUUCUGGCCAAUCAGAUGGGUCCGUGGUCAGGUUCUGGCCAAUCAGAUGGGUCCGUGGUCAGGUUCUGGCCAAUCAGAUGGGUCUGUGGUGGUGUUGUGACUACUGCUGUCUAACUCCUCCUGGAGGACCCCUGGUGUUUCUGAUAGUUUAACUUCCGUCCGGGAUUCAAUCAAAGGCGCAUUGUGGAUUAUGAGCAAACCAAACUAGACUGUUCAAUCAAAUGUUCAGCUGACAUCCGCAGCGUUUACCAUGACAACCAGAGGAAUGAGCUGGUUAACGGUGCGACGUGGUCAGUGCACCUUUAGGUUGAAUCCCAGCCGUCUCAUUCAGACCUGGGACACCAAAUCAUGUAUCAAUUACAUGUCCCAAAAUGGCACCCUAUUCCCUAUAUAGUCCCCUACCUU
Long non-coding RNA from Oncorhynchus tshawytscha (Chinook salmon), 1224 nucleotides. The record is from Ensembl. Lineage: Eukaryota; Metazoa; Chordata; Actinopteri; Salmoniformes; Salmonidae.